RNAcentral lists this ribosomal RNA (433 nucleotides) under uncultured bacterium. RNAcentral describes it as "partial 16S ribosomal RNA". It matches the Rfam family "Bacterial small subunit ribosomal RNA", at positions 29 to 507 of the family's 1533-position model. The record is from RNAcentral.
AACGAACGCUGGCGGCAGGCUUAACACAUGCAAGUCGAACGGAUCCUUCGGGAUUAGUGGCAGACGGGUGAGUAACGCGUGGGAACGUACCCUUUGCUACGGAAUAACUCAGGGAAACUUGAGCUAAUACCGUAUGUGCCCUACGGGGGAAAGAUUUAUCGGCAAAGGAUCGGCCCGCGUUGGAUUAGCUAGUUGGUGGGGUAAUGGCCUACCAAGGCGACGAUCCAUAGCUGGUCUGAGAGGAUGAUCAGCCACACUGGGACUGAGACACGGCCCAGACUCCUACGGGAGGCAGCAGUGGGGAAUAUUGGACAAUGGGCGUAAGCCUGAUCCAGCCAUGCCGCGUGAGUGAUGAAGGUCUUAGGAUUGUAAAGCUCUUUCACCGGUGAAGAUAAUGACGGUAGCCGGAGAAGAAGCCCCGGCUAACUUCGUG